Molecule: long non-coding RNA, 113 nt
Organism: Maniola jurtina (meadow brown)
Lineage: Eukaryota; Metazoa; Arthropoda; Insecta; Lepidoptera; Nymphalidae
Exons: 3
Source: RefSeq, a predicted model, not a curated record
GAAUCUCGGUAGUUUAGGCGAGCAGUAACCCUGCAGUAUCAAAAUUAAGGAGUUGUAUCCAGAAUUUUUUAUGGGACCACCACGGAAACUUCUACUGUUUACAAAAAAAUAUU